RNAcentral lists this long non-coding RNA (359 nucleotides) under Ananas comosus (pineapple). RNAcentral's name for it is "long non-coding RNA (ACOM_LNC010246)". Lineage: Eukaryota; Viridiplantae; Streptophyta; Magnoliopsida; Poales; Bromeliaceae. The record is from RNAcentral.
CCGAACCCACUGGGAACUAUAUUUAUAUAGUUCUCACCCCACUUUGUUACAGGGCCUAGUGAGAGAGCACCGGCAGAGGACCGUGGUAAGGGCAUAGCGCCCUAGCUAGCUAGUUACCUCCUAUAUGCAUUAGAGUCGGGCACCAUUUUGAGAGGUUAUGUAUUAUGGUUCGAGCGACUUAUGUACUUUGAUGGUGAGGUUGCUAGUGAUGUAUUUGGGAGUUACUUAUGUUGGAGAGCCAUUUUGUAUUAUGAGAAGAAUAUGUAUUCAUUUUGGAAGAUGAAAAUGUAAAUCAAUAUGUAAAAGUUGAAUGUGAUGUAAUAGCUAGAUCUAUCUCUCUUUAUUUCACUUGUAUGUUA